ACAAAUGGGGAAAAAAAUAACGCCACGACUUUGAUUCAGCUAACAAUAAUAAAAAUCUCAUCUCUCUCUCUCUACUCUCUCUCUGCAACACAGUUUUCUUUUUUUCAAUCAUCAAAAUUCUCUCUCUCUCCACCCCACCGAGGUUUGAGUUUACUCUUCAUACAAUCCUUCUUUUUUUUUUUUCUCUCUGUAAAUAAAUAUACAAAGCACAUACGCGACGUGUGUAUAUUUUCUGUAUCUGUAAUCGUUUGGGGGUUUUCUGUAUAUAUAAAUAAUUUCUGUUUAUUUCAAUUUUUUUCCGCUUGUAGGUUUUUGGAUUUCGGGGGUGGGGUGUUUUGUGUUGCUCAAUUUGUUGAUUUAGCGUCUUAAUUCUUCGAAUUGAGCUGUGGAAUUUGAUGGGUUUUUAGUAAAGUUUGAAUCUUUGCGUUCGUAGGAGGCUUUUGUUUGUGUAAAGUAUAAUUAGGGUUUUUUCUUUAGCAAUAAAUACACCUGUAGUAGAAUACAGGUUGAAUAUAUACUCUGUGUUGUUUGUGUAUUUCUUCAUUGUAUUGAAGGGUUUUCGAUUAGAUCGUAAUUUGUCGAACCCGAAUUUAGUGUUAACCUAUUG
Molecule: long non-coding RNA, 607 nt
Filed under: Erythranthe guttata (spotted monkey flower)
Lineage: Eukaryota; Viridiplantae; Streptophyta; Magnoliopsida; Lamiales; Phrymaceae
Description: long non-coding RNA (EGUT_LNC003195)
Source: RNAcentral